CGGGGCGUGGCGCAGUCUGGUAGCGCACCUGGUUUGGGACCAGGGGGUCGGAGGUUCGAAUCCUCUCGCCCCGACCA
RNAcentral lists this transfer RNA (77 nucleotides) under Maricaulis sp. Its description in RNAcentral is "tRNA-Pro". It matches the Rfam family "tRNA". From Rfam's summary of the family: Transfer RNA (tRNA) molecules are approximately 80 nucleotides in length. Their secondary structure includes four short double-helical elements and three loops (D, anti-codon, and T loops). Further hydrogen bonds mediate the characteristic L-shaped molecular structure. tRNAs have two regions of fundamental functional importance: the anti-codon, which is responsible for specific mRNA codon recognition, and the 3' end, to which the tRNAs corresponding amino acid is attached (by aminoacyl-tRNA synthetases). tRNAs cope with the degeneracy of the genetic code in two manners: having more than one tRNA (with a specific anti-codon) for a particular amino acid; and 'wobble' base-pairing, i.e. permitting non-standard base-pairing at the 3rd anti-codon position. The record is from RNAcentral. Lineage: Bacteria; Pseudomonadati; Pseudomonadota; Alphaproteobacteria; Maricaulales; Maricaulaceae. RNAcentral also lists the same sequence under 4 other names.